Alexandromys fortis (reed vole) is the source of this 660-nucleotide long non-coding RNA. RefSeq lists it as uncharacterized. The transcript is spliced from 3 exons. Lineage: Eukaryota; Metazoa; Chordata; Mammalia; Rodentia; Cricetidae. The record is from RefSeq and is a predicted model, not a curated record.
UUCUCCUCUAAGCAAUGAGGGGCCUGGGUGUUAUGGCACCAGUCAAGACCUCUGUUGUGGCUGAUGGCCUCUGCCUGGUGCUGUAGUGUUGGCUCAGCUGACAGAGCGGGAGAUGCAAAUUUUAUCAGAGUCCUGUGGCUGCUGCAAAAAAUUACCACGACUUAGUGGUUUGAAUGUUAACAACUCCUGAGAUGGGGUUCUAGUUCCAGAGUGAAUCCAUUGCAUGCAGAAGGUCCGGGAUUCCAUUCCCAGCACAAUAGGCAGGUGAGGGUCCCUCUCCCCAGAUGACCUAGCCUGGGUCAAGCGGACAAGAAACAAACCAGCAGAGAGACGUUACCAUCAGUCAGGCAGCUCGGGGUACCGGGAGUUCCUACAGAGUCAAGAUGGAUCCUGGAAUUGGGAUGUCCUCACUUUGUCUGGCCCUCACUCACUCUUGAUUCACUCUGGGUGCUGCCUCCAGUUUUUUGUAGACAGGGAGAGUCAAGCGCUACUCCAUGCUGUGGAAAUUAGGCAUGAUAACCAUAAAAUCGUGAUAGUGCCAAGACUCAAAACUCAGCCAAAGCCCAUGCGCUGACACUCUUUGAAGAAAAGAGAGGACCAGAGAAGUCAGUGCUCUGAUUUGACAGACUUCUGGAGGAAGACACUGGGUCCCGCCACCUG